This 863-nucleotide ribosomal RNA is filed under the name uncultured bacterium. RNAcentral's name for it is "bacterial SSU rRNA". It matches the Rfam family "Bacterial small subunit ribosomal RNA", at positions 11 to 925 of the family's 1533-position model. The record is from RNAcentral.
GUUUGAUCAUGGCUCAGAACGAACGCUGGCGGCAGGCCUAACACAUGCAAGUCGAGCGCACCUUCGGGUGAGCGGCGGACGGGUUAGUAACGCGUGGGAACGUACCCUUUUCUACGGAAUAGCCUUUGGAAACGAAGAGUAAUACCGUAUACGCCCUUUGGGGGAAAGAUUUAUCGGAGAAGGAUCGGCCCGCGUUAGAUUAGAUAGUUGGUGGGGUAACGGCCUACCAAGUCUACGAUCUAUAGCUGGUUUUAGAGGAUGAUCAGCAACACUGGGACUGAGACACGGCCCAGACUCCUACGGGAGGCAGCAGUGGGGAAUCUUAGACAAUGGGCGCAAGCCUGAUCUAGCCAUGCCGCGUGAGUGAUGAAGGCCUUAGGGUCGUAAAGCUCUUUCGCCUGUGAUGAUAAUGACAGUAGCAGGUAAAGAAACCCCGGCUAACUCCGUGCCAGCAGCCGCGGUAAUACGGAGGGGGUUAGCGUUGUUCGGAAUUACUGGGCGUAAAGCGCACGUAGGCGGAUUGGAAAGUUGGGGGUGAAAUCCCGGGGCUCAACCCCGGAACUGCCUCCAAAACUAUCAGUCUAGAGUUCGAGAGAGGUGAGUGGAAUUCCAAGUGUAGAGGUGAAAUUCGUAGAUAUUUGGAGGAACACCAGUGGCGAAGGCGGCUCACUGGCUCGAUACUGACGCUGAGGUGCGAAAGUGUGGGGAGCAAACAGGAUUAGAUACCUGGUAGUCCACACCGUAAACGAUGAAUGCCAGUCGUCGGGCAGUAUACUGUUCGGUGACACACCUAACGGAUUAAGCAUUCCGCCUGGGGAGUACGGUCGCAAGAUUAAAACUCAAAGGAAUUGACGGGGCCCGCA